AGGUAGCCGUGACAAUGGACAUGAGGUGAGAGGGAAACAUCUGGGCCUCAGCCGUCCUCUGUCUUCUGCUGGCAUUGGGUGAAUCUCAUCAGGCUCAAUCUUUGCUCUUCUUUUGAUUAUGUUUGUGGCUUUAAAUAAAUCAAUGAAAAAAAUGUUCAACAUCUGUAGUCAUCAAGGAGAUACAAAUUGAAACAGCAUCUGAUUGGGGGCCUGGUGCAGGAGAGAAUCUGCAAGACAGUGGGAAGAGAUUCACUCUUCUCCAAAGACAGAACAUCAAUCAGAAUUAAACUCUGUGACAUCCUGGACCCCUAGCCUAUGGAAAGCCUCUCUACUCUGUGCCACACUGAAAACAACAGUGCCAUUUCUCCCCACCAGCUGGCUCCAAAGCUGCUUGUGUGAAACUGCAGAAAAAACAGAAUUGGGAAGAAAAGAGAAGACAGCCAUAUGAUGUAACUCAAAAGAUACCAUUUGUAAAAGACAGGUUAUCUAGGAGAAUCAGGUUAGUUCUGACAUAUAAAUCAAAAUUACUUACAUUUUAGGGGUCUGAAAUUCGAUAAACUUCCAAAGGCUAAAUGCUACAGUAUUCCAAACUAUCCCGAUUUUUGAACACGCUUGUAGAUUUUCCCAGAGACAAGUUACCCCUACUUUUACCUCAUUUUCUAGAAGCUAAAAAAGAUAACUAGUUAUUGGAGUAGCUGAGGAAAAGCACCUGCGUUUUUAUUUGCAGGACCUGAAAAAAAUUAAGGUCAAGAAGAGUUUUAAAUUUUAUUCUGUUUAUUUCUAAUGCUAUGCAAUUUUUAUCCUGUUAGAAUUUUUUUCAUAUUGGAGGUAAUUAUAGUUUUUCAUCUUGAAUAUUGCUAAUGCCAGGGGC
Castor canadensis (American beaver) is the source of this 871-nucleotide non-coding RNA. The record is from RefSeq and is a predicted model, not a curated record. Lineage: Eukaryota; Metazoa; Chordata; Mammalia; Rodentia; Castoridae.